CCAAAUCCUUAAAUCAAAACCCAUAAGCUCUCACCUCUCUCUACUUUCUCUCUCUAUUCACCCUUCAUUAAAGAAGCUUUGAAGUUUGAAGAAGAAGAGCAAAUCCUCCAAGGUUCUACUCAAAUUUCGUGGCUAUUCAUCUUUAAGGUAUGGGUUCUUUCAAUCUUGAGAUUCUUUUCCCCAAGAGGUCCCUCCAAAAGAUGAUUUCUAAGUCUCUCAAAAUUAGGAUUUUUCUCUACACAUAGGUCUUCUUUGAAAAAUGAAAUUACGAAUCAAUUACGAUGAAUUAUGGUCAAUUAAUGUUGUUUAAGUAUAUAUUCAUGGUUAAUUCUUGUUAUUCACUCAGUAUUCCCAUGGACCCACAUCUUCCCCCAAUUUUAUGAAAAUCUUGAAUUGAGAAGGUGAAUUGUGAAGAGAAUGAAUAUGUUGAUUAACUAUAUUGAUGUUAAUUAUGUAAUUGCUUCUUGAAUUUACCUUAAUUAUGCAUUGGCUAUGUGUUCUUUGGUAACUGAAGUAUUCAAUUAUGAAAUAUGAGUUACUUAGAUUGUAAUGUCUUUAUGUCUAAUGUGUGGGUGUGAUGCUGAUAAUGAGUAUUCCUCGUCCUUAACCCUAGACUAUUGAAUUGGUUAUGAAAUAUGCAAGUAUGUUAUGGUAUGAUUAUUAUAUGAUUGAAAGUAGUUUCUCAUGAUUAUAAUAAAGUGUUGAGUAAAAGGUUUACUCACUUAUAUGUGGUUUCUAAAGUGAAAGGAUAGUUCUCACUUAUGAGUACCUAUGAGCUAUUAUGGUAAUAUGUUCACAUAGGGGUCUAGAAGAGACUAAUGUGAUCUUGUAUGAUAAGUAUGAUGAUUAUUAAAGGAAAUAAAUGCUUAGCACCGAAAGGGCAUGUAAAUGAGAUGGAGGUCUCACGUUUAGUAACUCCGUCCUCUCACAUGGGUUUCUUCACGAGUAGCAAGUCCGGAUUCCCACAAUAUGUGUUGUCUCACGAGAUAAAAACCUCCACGUUAGUAAGUCAAGGUUUCUAGUAACAAUCUCCUUGACCCCUAACUAUGUGUCCACAUAGGACUCUAUCUUAGUGGAUCCACCUAGAUAACUAUGUACGAAUGGUUACUCCUUGGGCAAGUGUUAACCCUCUCUUUUCAAUGUAGGAGUAGAACACUAAAUUCCAUGUAGCUCACAUGGUCUAAUGUCGGUUAUUGCACUUAUUUCCCUAAUGUAAAAGUAAAUGAACAAUUUGAGUACAUGGACUCAUGUUAGGGCUUGUCUUGAAGGUUUCUACAUGGUGUAAGGGAAGGUAUGAGACUUCGCUUGCAAAUUGCACUUGUGGGAUUCUAAGGAAUGGCUAUAGUAGUGUUCUUCUUAUGAUUAUGAUUAUUUUGAUAAGCUAUGAGUAGUACUGGUGUAUUAAGAAUGUCAUGAUGAAAUAAGAGAAUAUGUUUUGUAUGUAUGAAGUGGUUUGCUUAAUGUGAUACUUAGAUUGGAUAGGGUUAUGUGGCUCUAUCUUUAGCAUUGCACAAGUAUUUCUUAGGUGGUUUACAUGUUAGGUUGCUAUUAUAUUAAAUUGACUUACUAUGUUUAUUAUAUCUGCAUUUUGAGUUAAGUUGAUAGAAAACAUGAUUUUGACUAAAAUGUCCUUUUUCUCAUGCAGUGAUGAUUUUUGUGCAUAGAAGCCAUACUUAGUACGUGUGAUGCACUUACUCAUAUUUAUCCCUUCUUUCCAAACAUUUUAGGUUGUGAUUGUUAAAGAGUUUGUGGUCAAUUGCUAGGAAGACUUGGAUCUUUUUUCAAGUCAUUGGUGAAUCCUCAUGUCCGGGGAUGUUGUCAUGUUCCACUCUAUGUAUGAGACUUUAUUUUUUCUUUUAUCAUUGAGACAAUUUAUGUAAGCCUAUAAUGGCGUAUUGUUAUUGUAUUGGCUAUGUCUAAACGUUUAUACUCUUGUACAUGAUUUAAU
Molecule: long non-coding RNA, 1948 nt
Filed under: Solanum lycopersicum (tomato)
Lineage: Eukaryota; Viridiplantae; Streptophyta; Magnoliopsida; Solanales; Solanaceae
Description: long non-coding RNA (SLYC_LNC000037)
Source: RNAcentral